AUACGAAAGGGGCAAGCGUUGUUCGGAUUUACUGGGCGUAAAGAGAUCGUAGGUGGUUUAUCAAGUCGGAUGUGAAAUCCCGGGGCUCAACCCCGGAACUGCAUUCGAUACUGGUAGACUUGAGUUCGGGAGGGGGAUGCGGAAUUCCGCGUGUAGCAGUGAAAUGCGUAGAUAUGCGGAGGAACACCAGAGGCGAAGGCGGCAUCCUGGACCGAUACUGACACUGAGGAUCGAAAGCAUGGGGAGCAAACAGGAUUAGAAACCCCGGUAGUCC
This 274-nucleotide ribosomal RNA is filed under the name uncultured bacterium. Its description in RNAcentral is "partial 16S ribosomal RNA". It matches the Rfam family "Bacterial small subunit ribosomal RNA", at positions 523 to 796 of the family's 1533-position model. The record is from RNAcentral.